Molecule: ribosomal RNA, 1200 nt
Filed under: Triticum aestivum (bread wheat)
Lineage: Eukaryota; Viridiplantae; Streptophyta; Magnoliopsida; Poales; Poaceae
Description: partial small subunit ribosomal RNA
Source: RNAcentral
AUGGGCGACAACCUGAUGGAGAAGGUGACGGCGCUGAGCGAGCAGCUGAAGAUCACCGGGACGGAGGUCGGCAAGAAGAUGACGGCCGGCAUGAGCUCCAUGAGCUUCAAGAUGAGGGAGCUCUUCCUGGGGCAGACUCCAGCCGACAAGAUCGUCGAGGACGCCACCUCCGAGACCCUGGAGGGGCCCGACUGGGCCAUGAACCUGGAGAUCUGCGACCUGAUCAACGCCGGGAAGGUGAACAGCGUGGAUCUGGUCCGCGGGGUCAAGAAGCGGCUCGUGCUGAAGGAUGCAAGGGUUCAGUUCCUCACCCUGUCCCUUCUCGAGACCGUCACCAAGAACUGCGAGAAGGUGUUCUCCGAGGUCGCCGCCGAGAGGGUUCUCGAUGAGAUGGUCAGGUUGGUGGAUGAUCCACUGACCGUGGUGAAUAACAGGAACAAGGCGCUUAUGCUGAUUGAGGCUUGGGGAGAGUCCGGCGAGGAGCUCCGCUACCUGCCGGUCUAUGAGGAGACAUACAAGAGUCUGAAAUCAAGAGGAGUGCGGUUUCCUGGACGCGACAAUGAGAGCUUGGCCCCCAUAUUUACUCCACCACGCUCAGUUGCUGAAGCUGAAGCUGGUGCAAACUUCACGCAACAGACCUUUGAAGAUGUGCAUAUGCAUACAUAUACUGCCGAAGAAACAAAGGAAGCUUUUGAUGUUGCGCGUAACAGCAUAGAGCUUCUUUCAACCGUUUUUUCAUCUUUCCCUCAGCAGGAUGCUUUGCAGGACGACUUGACGAACACCCUUGUGCAACAAUGCUACCAAUCCCAACACACCAUCCAGAGAUUCGUGGAGACGGCUGGGGACAACGAGGCCAUGCUCUUGGAGGCCCUGACCGUGAACGACGAGAUCCAGAAAGUGCUAUCCAGAUACGAAGAGAUGAAGAAACCCGUGGCGCCAGCGCACGCGGAACAAGAGCCGUUGGCCAUACCGAUCGCCGCAGAAGCGGAACAUGAGGAUGCCACUGCCGUCGGGAGCGAAGAGGCCCUGGUCAGAAAACCGGCCGGUUCUCGAGCAAAGCCGGAUGGAGACGACGGUAUGCUCGAUGACCUCGACGAGAUGAUAUUCGGCAAGAAGGGAGGGGACAGCAGCUCCUCCCAGGAGGAUGCAGAUGGGGCCCAAAAGCAGGACAUGAAGAAAGAUGACCCGAUUAACCUCUGA